CCCGGAAGGCCCAUAUAAAGCUCGGUGAGGAGCCUGAACUUGAUCCCAAGGGAGGGGCCGGGGGAGGCCCAUCUGUGUGACAAGGGUAGGUCUGUCUAGCUCCCGGGCAGGGAGUGACUGGAGGACCAGCAAGAAACAAGCAGACAUUUGGGUGAGGCGAAGGCGGCCUAGGUGGCCCUGAAUCACUUCCUCUCUGAGGGCUGCUUCCCUCUCCUGCCCAGACAGGGCCAACUCAGCCAGGCCUCCAAGCUCCCUUCCACAUCUGCCCGCCCCCCUCCCCGCACCCCCCGCCCCCCACCGCAGAACUCAUCCCGCCCCCUUCACCCUGGCUUCCACCAAACCCUCCCUCCCUCGAGCCGCAGGGCACCGCAUCUGUUUGGGGUUCAAUGCCCACUCCGGCCUCUCCCUAAUCAGGUUCGAUGGGCUGGCUAUAAUUUUUCCUAAUGCACUCUGAAAAUCUGUAUAUUUUUACAAUAAAGAUGUUCACCUCUGCACACCCAAAGCCAUUAUCUACCUCCCGAGGGAAACGCUGGCCGAGGAAGACCUCCGCAGCCUCUUGUGCCCCCCUGCAUCUCCCUGCUGCACUCCUGGAAACCGAGAACCUGGGCUGCCUCCCCUCCCGCUUCCCACCUUCCCUCCAUCUGGACCGCCCUUGGUCAGACUGUUCCUGCUCACACAGUAGAAAUUUAAAUGCAGCAACAGGGCGUUUGUCCACAGCGGACCACGUAAGUGGCAUUCUCUGUUGUCACGAAGCCACAUCCCACUGCUAAGCUUGCCUACGCACGAGGAGGAUGAUUAAGGAAGAAGGGCUGAUCCCACUUUCUUAUUCAUCCCCCAAAAAACCAGACUGCAAAGUAGAAUGACUGUCAGCCUCCUUUGGGGAGACGCCCUUACCUGCUGGCUUCAAGGAGUAUCUCCCUGGCAGCCAGAUUCCCAUUAACACAUAAUGCAGAGCCUCAUGCAAAACAGACUUUACUGAGAGAGAGGUGCUGGUGGGAGGAGACCUGCAGUCAGGAAUCCGGAUUCUGUGCCCAGCUCUGUCGCCAACACCGUCCAUCCUCCCAGAGCCUCCGGAGUUUCUGUAACUUGGGACUCUGUGAUUGAGUGGGGAGGGGUCCCUUCCAGCUCUGACUGACUGAGAAAGAUGUGGUCACCAGGAAGGACAGAGCAAGAGCCAUUUACAAAGGAGUCUACACAGCGAGAGAGCCCGAAGUUUAGCUCAGAAGAGCAGAUCCAACUCCCAGCCCGCUGGCGGGCUGGCGGGUCACACGGAGCCCCAACCACGUGCCAAGACGGGUCUCCAGGGGCCACCUGGGGACCAUCCAAGGCUGGAGGGGAAAAGGCCACCGCGGGGCAGCAGAAGGCAGAGGCAGGAGGACCCUUCGAGGGGCACGACAGGCCAGGAAAAAGGAUCAACUUCCUUAACUACGAUGUUUCACUGCAUACUGAUGGAUCCAGAGAAAGGUCUGGUCUUAAACAAAGACCCUCCCCUCUCCACACUCCCCUCUCCCACCGCCGUCCCCACUCCCACCCACCACCUCAGUGACGGGGCCGCUGAGCCAGGAUCACUCAACCUGAAGACGGACAGAAAGGACCAGACUUCGAAGAGAGUUAGGAUUCGCCUCUGAGCACGUCGCUGCCAGGUGGAGGACUCUGGGCUCCCAGACACCCAGCUGUGACACCUCCCGCUGCAAAGAUGGUGAAAGGCUGUGCUGGUGGCUGAGAGCACUGCACACCCCUUCCUUCAGGAGACACUUGAAAGGGACCACACUCCCCCCUUGAAGCCCCAUCUCAAGCGGUAGAAUGUCCUCUCCAGUUUGGUCCUGCCUCCG
Balaenoptera acutorostrata (minke whale) is the source of this 1832-nucleotide long non-coding RNA. RefSeq lists it as uncharacterized. The record is from RefSeq and is a predicted model, not a curated record. NCBI's taxonomy places the organism in Eukaryota, Metazoa, Chordata, Mammalia, Artiodactyla, Balaenopteridae. The transcript has 4 exons.